CAAGCCCUAAAAUGUGCCUUGCAAUGGCGAGAGGAGCUCCGCUAUGGCGCGCGGCGACGGCGAUUUGUAGGGGCCGAUCGGUGCGUGGAUUGCCUAGAAUCACUGCAAUCGGUGCGAAAUCUUUCUCUGUCGAUGCUUCCUCGCGCACCGAUCUCAUCAAGACGCUGCGCGAGCGGACCGGGGCGCCGAUCAAGGAUGUCAAGGAGGUGCUGGUGAAAUGUGAAUGGAACGAAGAGAAUGCGUUUACUGAGCUGAGGAAGAAGGGCCUUGCUGCCGCGACGAAGAAAUCUUCUCGUGUGGCUGCGGAAGGAUUGCUUGGACUGGCACACUUCGAGAAAGGUGCCGCGGUCAUAGAGAUUAACAGCGAGACUGACUUUGUUGCUCGAAACGAUCUCUUCCAGAGCCUUGUGCUGUCAGUCGCAAAAGCGGCAUCCACAUUGAAAGCUGUCCAACAAUUUUCUUCUAAACCAGCUGCUCUUGAUUUGCACGAUUUAGAGCUUGUAAAUGUGAAGCUGGAUCACGCAUCAAUCACCAGAGAGCUUCGUGUACGCGACGCAGUCUCGGAAGUUGCCGCUAUCACUGGAGAAAAUGUGAGACUUCGAAGAGCUUUCUAUAUGUCUUCGCAAAGAGGGAUCGUGUCCUCGUAUUUGCACAUGAGUCCGGCAUCAGGUUUAUCUCGGCUCGCGGGGCUCGUUUCGGUCGAGGUUGAAGAUGAUCAAGAAGGCUCGCAUUCGGAAACACUGAAAAGCGUGGGCUCGUCUCUUGCAAUGCAUGUUGUUGCUGCAAGGCCGCUGUUUUUGUCUAAGGAACUCGUGGACUCUGAAGUACUGGAGCAUGAGCGGAACAUCUGCAAAGCACAGGCCUCGACUGCUGGAAAGCAAGAGAAUGUCGUCCAGAAGAUGGUCGAAGGCAGGCUUGCCAAAUACAUGGAAGAGGUUGUUCUUCUGGAGCAGAAGUACGUUGCAGACGAAACGAAACGGAUCAAAGUCCUGCUAAAAGAGGCGUCCAAGGAAAUCGGGAAGACGGCCAAGAUCGAGGGAUUCCUGCGAAUAGAAGUCGGGGAGGGGAUCGAAAAGCUUGAAAAGGACUUUGCUGCCGAGGUUGCUGCUGCAGCACGAUGACAGGUUGGAUAUUCAAAACAAGUAGGUGGUUUUAUUCGAAUCAAAUCAAUUGCCAAAGACGCUGGCACAUUAUCUCGAGGACAAGACGCAAUGAAAUAACGAAUUGGAAGUGAGCCUUGCUCCAUUUCCAGCCAUACGGACAGCGGUGGCAAUCGUUGUUAUACCAAUACCAGUCACUCGGGCAGCUCACACACUUGCUUCCACUCCACUUCCAUCCGGACGGGCAUUGGUGGCACUUGUUGUUGUACCAGUACCAGUUGCUCGGGCAGCUCACGCAUUUGCUUCCACUCCACUUCCAACCGGAGAGGCAUCUGUGGCAAUCGUUGCUAUACCAGUACCAGCCCUUGGGACACUGGAUGCACUUGUGGCCGUCCCAGUUCCAUCCAGAUUUGCAUUUCUGCUGGGCUGCUGCGCUUGCGAUGCCACCAACGUCCACUCCAACCAGGAGGACUGUCACAACCAUGGCCAGAAGCAUCAGCUGGGACUUGCUCGCCAUCUUGGUAGAAGAAACUUUCGAAGUGUACUGAGAUCUCUCUCUCUCUCUCUCUCUCUCGCAAAACUUGCUGCUGUGUGGUGGAUUAGAAGUGGAGGCAAUUUAUAGGAUGGAGGAAGUGGAGACCAAGUCCAGCGAGAUUGCUACAGCGUCACUCGGUUCUGACUAUUUAGCCAGCAUGUUAUGCUUGACAUAGUCGUUAGACGUAAUCUAUCCAAUUAUCACAGAAAUGGUAUAAAUUCGACGGCAGCCAGA
Selaginella moellendorffii is the source of this 1869-nucleotide RNA transcript. It is a transcript of the gene named elongation factor Ts, mitochondrial, with no coding region annotated. Lineage: Eukaryota; Viridiplantae; Streptophyta; Lycopodiopsida; Selaginellales; Selaginellaceae. The record is from RefSeq and is a predicted model, not a curated record. The transcript has 9 exons.